This 440-nucleotide ribosomal RNA is filed under the name uncultured bacterium. RNAcentral's name for it is "partial 16S ribosomal RNA". It matches the Rfam family "Bacterial small subunit ribosomal RNA", at positions 338 to 795 of the family's 1533-position model. The record is from RNAcentral.
CCUACGGGAGGCAGCAGUGGGGAAUAUUGCGCAAUGGUGGAAACCCUGAUGCAGCGACGCCGCAUGAGUGAAGAAGUCCUUCGGUAUGUAAAGCUCUAUCAGCAGGGAAGAAAAUGACGGUAACUGAGUGAGAAGGCCCGGCUAACUCCGGGCCAGCCGCCGCGGUAAUACGUAGGGGGCAAGCGUUCUUCGGAUUGACUGGGGGGAAAGGGGGCGUAGACGGCAGUGCAAGUCUGGCGUGAAAGGCGGGGGCUCAACCCCCGGAAUGCUAUGGAAACUGUAAGGCUGGAGUGCAGGAGAGGUAAGCGGAAUUCCUAGUGUAGCGGUGAAAUGCGUAGAUAUUAGGAGGAACACCAGUGGCGAAGGCGGCUUACUGGACUGUAACUGACGUUGAGGUUCGAAAGCGUGGGGAGCAAACAGGAUUAGAUACCCCAGUAGUC